GGCUAUUAUAGUUAGAAGGGAACCGUUCAAUUAUAUGACUCCACAGAUUGAAAACUGGUAAGUUGCUUAGAUAUGACAUUCUUAAGAUGUCAACGAGUAAGCUCAAAGUUGAAAUCAAGAUGCUCUGCAAGCUCAAAGUGAAACAACAUUGUAACUAAAUUCAGUUGAAUCAAUUUGAGGGUUGUUUUAAGUAUAUUCAGA
This 201-nucleotide unclassified non-coding RNA is filed under the name Hevea brasiliensis (rubber tree). Lineage: Eukaryota; Viridiplantae; Streptophyta; Magnoliopsida; Malpighiales; Euphorbiaceae. The record is from RNAcentral.